RNAcentral lists this ribosomal RNA (946 nucleotides) under Candidatus Woesebacteria bacterium GW2011_GWA1_37_8. RNAcentral's name for it is "bacterial SSU rRNA". It matches the Rfam family "Bacterial small subunit ribosomal RNA", at positions 1 to 955 of the family's 1533-position model. The record is from RNAcentral. Lineage: Bacteria; Candidatus Woeseibacteriota.
UGAGGGUUUGAUCCUGGCCCAGGACUAACGCUAGCGGCGUGCAUUAGGUAUGCAAGUGGAACGAGUCCCGUAAGGGACGAGUCGCGAACGGCUGAGUAACACGUAAGAACUUACCCCUUGAUGUGGAAUACCUCGUCGAAAGACGGGCUAAUACCGCAUAAGACCUCCGGGUGAAAGCACUUAACUGUGCGUCGAGGGAAAGGCUUGCGGCCUAUCAGCUUGUUGGUGAGGUAAAAGCUCACCAAGGCUACGACGGGUAGGGGACGUGAGAGCGUGCACCCCCAGAAUGGCACUGAGAUACGGGCCAUACACCUACGGGUGGCGCAACCGGGAAUCGUGCGCAAUGGACGAAAGUCUGACGCCGCGACGCCGCGUGAGGGAUGAAGGUUUUUGGAUUGUAAACCUCUUUUGCCAAGGUAGAGAUGCCUUGGAGAAUAAGCAUCGGCUAACUUCGUGCCAGCAGCAGCGGUAAUACGUAGGAUGCAAGCGUUGUCCGGAUUUAUUGGGCGUAAAGCGUCUGUAGGUUUUUUGGAAAGUCACUCUUCAAAGCCCGGGGCUCAACCUCGGAAAGGGGAGUGAUACUGUCAGAAUUGGAAUGCUUCGGGGCUACUGGAACUUAACAUGUAGGAGUGAAAUCCGUUGAUAUGUUAAGGAACACCGAGGGCGAAGGCAGGUAGCUAGGAGUUAUUUGACACUGAGAGACGAAAGCUAGGGGAGCGAAAGGGAUUAGAGACCCCUGUAGUCCUAGCAGUAAACUAUGCUCGCUAGGGAUAGGUCCCGCAAAGUACACAUAAAUCGCUUAAGAAUGCGAAAUGUGUUUUUUGCGGGAUCUGUCUCGUAAGCUAACGCGUUAAGCGAGCCGCCUGGGGAGUACGAACGCAAGUUUAAAACUCAAAGGAAUUGACGGGGACCCGCACAACCAGUGGAGCAUGUGGUUUAAUUCGAG